UUUCUCUCCAGAUCAUAUAAAUCUUUCACCUUUUACUAAAGAUUUCCUUGGGGUGGAA
This 58-nucleotide small nuclear RNA is filed under the name Panthera leo (lion). Its description in RNAcentral is "U5 spliceosomal RNA (ENSPLOG00000019102.1)". It matches the Rfam family "U5 spliceosomal RNA", at positions 10 to 67 of the family's 117-position model. Rfam says of the family: U5 RNA is a component of both types of known spliceosome. The precise function of this molecule is unknown, though it is known that the 5' loop is required for splice site selection and p220 binding, and that both the 3' stem-loop and the Sm site are important for Sm protein binding and cap methylation. The record is from Rfam by way of RNAcentral. Lineage: Eukaryota; Metazoa; Chordata; Mammalia; Carnivora; Felidae.